AUGAAAGUAAGCAUCGACGCGUCGGAGCUGAGGUCCAUGGACUAUAGCGGCGCCGUGCCAGAGGAGUCCUUGCUAUCUCUGCACGGCUCACCGGCAAUAUCCUCCUGCACCGUCAAAUUUUGCAAGGUGACACCCACGAAGUCGGAGUUCACCCGGUUCAGAAGGUUCCUCAAAAAGGUGUCGCCCUCAAAGCAUCUGCCUCUGCACCAUAGAGGCUUGGACACUCGAUUCUUCGCGGUGUUCCCCUCGUUUCCUACCCUGACGCGGCUCGAGCUACAUGGCCCCAUCCGGAACAGCGACGCGGUCGAUGCGGUCCGGAGGAUACUGGAGCAGACGCCCAACCUCGAGGUCCUGUCGCUCGACAUGGAUGACCGGGAGCGAAGAGAAAAGGAGGAAGAGGAGGAGGAGGAGGCCAUGUACCCGGAGCGGUUCAACAGAAGAGGCGUAGAUGAUGAUCAGGAGCAGUACCAUAAGUCCUCGGAUGAUCCUGUGGAGCUAAAAGUUCCCAACCGGUUGAGUUUUUCCAUUCGGUGCUUGCGGCGUCGUGUGAAGGACAUAAACAUGGAUAGCUACCGGUGUGACGUGCAGCAUAGGGUGCUGGCCAGCCUGCUGUUCCGCAACGCGCUUGUGCUUGAAAGGAUGUGUGUCGGGUUCGUGAAGAAGGGGUCGUCCAAGUUGCAGGCUGAGCUGACGAAGGAGAUCGAGAGCUGGCUAGUGGUCGCCUGA
Molecule: ribosomal RNA, 726 nt
Filed under: Triticum aestivum (bread wheat)
Lineage: Eukaryota; Viridiplantae; Streptophyta; Magnoliopsida; Poales; Poaceae
Description: partial small subunit ribosomal RNA
Source: RNAcentral